GGAGGUAGUGACAAUAAAUCUCAAUACGAAGCCUUUGGUUUUGUAAUUGAAUUGAGAACAAUGUACAAUCGUUAUCGAUAAACAAUUGGAGGGCAAGUCUGGUGCCAGCAGCCGCGGUAAUUCCAGCUCCAAUAGCGUAUAUUAACGUUGUUGCAGUUAAAAAGCUCGUAGUUGAAGUUUAGAUAAUUUAUUGAAAGUGUUUGUAUUCGUACAUUCUACUUUUAUGUAAGUUAUCGACAUCCAGGUGGGUGCCAUGGUUCCGCAAGGAAUUGUGGUACUAGACUGGUCAUUUACUGUGAGAAAAUUAGAGUGUUUAAAGCAGACUUUUAUUCAGUUUGAAUAGAUUAGCAUGGAAUAAUAAGAUUGGCUUUCAUAGUCGAUUUUUUGGUUUGUUUAUGAAAGCAAGAUUAAUAGGGACAGUUGGGGGUAUUCAUAUCAAUAGCUAGAGGUGAAAUUCUAUGAUUUAUGGAAGAUGAACAAGUGCGAAAGCA
Molecule: ribosomal RNA, 491 nt
Filed under: Blastocystis sp.
Lineage: Eukaryota; Bigyra; Opalinata; Blastocystidae
Description: SSU rRNA
Rfam family: Eukaryotic small subunit ribosomal RNA
Source: RNAcentral